AUGCGAGAGCUUGGGGAUUUCGUUCAAUACACCACAAGCUUCCAAACGAAAUCCAAAUUAAAGAUAAGCAAUAAAGGAAGGCAAAGUUUAGAAACUUACCUAACGGACUGGUUCUGGCGACCUUUCUACGACGUCGAAGUCGCAAAAAAACUAGAGGCACAACUGAAAAGUCAGGUAAAAAGUAUUUGA
Molecule: non-coding RNA, 189 nt
Organism: Vicia faba (fava bean)
Lineage: Eukaryota; Viridiplantae; Streptophyta; Magnoliopsida; Fabales; Fabaceae
Source: the annotation of a GenBank genome assembly